RNAcentral lists this ribosomal RNA (460 nucleotides) under uncultured bacterium. RNAcentral describes it as "partial 16S ribosomal RNA". It matches the Rfam family "Bacterial small subunit ribosomal RNA", at positions 338 to 795 of the family's 1533-position model. The record is from RNAcentral.
CCUAUGGGUGGCAGCAGUGAGGAAUAUUGGUCAAUGGACGAGAGUCUGAACCAGCCAAGUAGCGUGAAGGAUGACUGCCCUAUGGGUUGUAAACUUCUUUUAUAUGGGAAUAAAAUGUUCCACGUGUCGGAUUUUGUAUGUACCAUAUGAAUAAGGAUCAGCGAACUCCGUGCCAGCAGCCGCGGUAACACGGAGGCUCCGAGCGUUACCCGGAUUUAUUGGGUUUAAUGGGGGCGUAGGUGGAUUGUUAAGUCAGUUGAGAAAGUUUGCGGCUCAACCGUAAAAUUGCAGUUGAAACUGGCAGUCUUGAGUACAGUAGAGGUGGGGGGAAUUCGUGGUGUAGCGGUGAAAUGCUUAGAGAUCACGAAGAACUCCGAUUGCGAAGGCAGCUCACUGGACUGCAACUGACACUGGGGCUCGAAAGUGUGGGUAUCAAACAGGAUUAGAUACCCCAGUAGUC